Molecule: long non-coding RNA, 463 nt
Organism: Ochotona princeps (American pika)
Lineage: Eukaryota; Metazoa; Chordata; Mammalia; Lagomorpha; Ochotonidae
Exons: 4
Source: RefSeq, a predicted model, not a curated record
CUUAAGUUUACGCCUUUGGAGAGACGACUAGAUAUGGUCCCUCGAUGUUUGGGAAUGACCGAAGAUAAAGACGUUUUAAGUACUGAUUUCUAAACACAAGAAAGAGAGAAUCAUUGUUACAGUUGCCUAUAAGGAAAUUUCAUGCAUUUUUCAUGAUGGAAAUGAAUAGUAGCUGUAAUAGAGACUAUCAAAUGCAGAUGUGAAGAUACAAUGCAGAAUGCAUCUCUACUUCCGAACCAAAGAUGGACUACCAAUGAAACUCUUAAACAUACCUUGACAAUUGGAAGCUUGGACUCUCUGUCAUUUUCCUCAAUGUUACGAUACAGUGAAACAGAAUGAUGGAUUUACGACUGCUUAUGAAGGACUAUACUAUUGUAAUAAUAUAUGAGAAACCAAUCUGGGGAAGGGAAUUUUGGGAGGGGGUAAGGGAAAUCCCAGAGCCUAUAGAAUUGUAUCAUAAAAU